CCCAACUAAUAUUAAUUAUAUGAUUUAAUAUAGUUUAGGUUGCGGGGAUCUAAAAAAUCUUACCUUUGGAAGCGAAUCUCGGAAUUACAUAAAUUGAUGGUAGAUAUUCAGACUGCUCAUGCUAAGUUGGGCAGUCAAGACGGAAACAGCCGAGAACACUGAUCAAGGUCCCAAAUGAUUGUUAAGUGAAAUUAAGGACGUAGCAAUAUCGUAUACAGCUGUGAAGUGAGCCUGGCAGUCGCUACUUAUAAUGAUCGUACGUAACAACGCAUCAGCAGUAUUAAUUAAUAAUUUAUUAAUUAAAUGAUAGUAGCGCCGAAAAUUUAACGGGUCUUAAACAAUCAACCGAUAUCGUGUUGGUUUUAUUUAUAUAUAUUAUAAAAAAAAUCUAGGUAGUAGAACAUUCAGUUUAACUGUUAAUUAGACAGUGUUUCAUUGUUUAUUAGGUUACUGAAGAGAGAAUGCUGACAUGAGUAACGUAAAAAAUUCCUUAUAAUGGAAUUCGCCGAAUACGAAAGGGUUGCAAAUAUGAAAGGUUAAACCGCUUUGUGUUAAUGCGGNCUCUAAGGACUAUAGCAAUAGCUAUGGCUGAUGAGUAUGUAAUAG
This 606-nucleotide ribosomal RNA is filed under the name Galerina pseudobadipes. RNAcentral's name for it is "partial 28S ribosomal RNA". It matches the Rfam family "Bacterial large subunit ribosomal RNA", at positions 877 to 1432 of the family's 2925-position model. The record is from RNAcentral. Lineage: Eukaryota; Fungi; Basidiomycota; Agaricomycetes; Agaricales; Galerinaceae.